UUUCCGUAGGUGAACCUGCGGAAGGAUCAUUCACAAUUAGUGUUCCUACGGCACUUUAACAUCCAUAUUCACCUUGUGUGCAACGUUCUGAGGUCUUUUUACCAUAUCGCCGGCUGCAGAAUGCUUGCUCUACAGCCGAGGAAGGCAAGAUAAGGAGGCUGAUUAUAUCAUAACAAUUGAUCAAUAACAAUUAUGUCGGAAAACCUAUUGCUAAUUAACUUUAAAAAUAAAUAAAAUCUUCAAAAACGGAUAUUUUGGUCAACGCAUCGAUGAAGAACC
This 279-nucleotide unclassified non-coding RNA is filed under the name plant metagenome. RNAcentral describes it as "partial contains small subunit ribosomal RNA, internal transcribed spacer 1, and 5.8S ribosomal RNA". The record is from RNAcentral.